ACUGAUGGCGACCGGCGGCACGGGUGAGUAACACGUAUCACCUGCCUCAUACUCGGGGAUAGCCUUUCGAAAGAAAGAUUAAUAUCCGAUAGCAUAUAUUUCCCGCAUGGGUUUUAUAUUAAAGAAAUUCGGUAUGAGAUGGGGAUGCGUUCCAUUAGUUUGUUGGGGGGGUAACGGCCCACCAAGACUACGAUGGAUAGGGGUUCUGAGAGGAAGGUCCCCCACAUUGGAACUGAGACACGGUCCAA
RNAcentral lists this ribosomal RNA (248 nucleotides) under uncultured bacterium. RNAcentral's name for it is "partial 16S ribosomal RNA". It matches the Rfam family "Bacterial small subunit ribosomal RNA", at positions 100 to 334 of the family's 1533-position model. The record is from RNAcentral.